CUGGGNUCCAGGAUGNAACGCUAGCGGNAAGGCNUUAAUACAUGCAAGUCGAGCGGUAUAGUGACUUCGGUUGCUAGAGAGCNGGCGCACGGGUGAGUAACGCGUACAUGACCUANCCUCUAAGAUCNGGGAUAGCCCUGGGAAACUGGGAUUAAUACCGGAUGUGAUAAUAAGUAUAAGGAUUUAUUAUUAAAGUUGCGGCGCUUAGAGAUGGGUGUGCGUCUGAUUAGCUAGUUGGUAGGGUAAAGGCCUACCAAGGCGACGAUCAGUAGGGGGCGUGAGAGCGUGAUCCCCCACACGGGUACUGAGACACGGACCCGACUCCUACGGGAGGCAGCAGUAGGGAAUAUUGGUCAAUGGACGAAAGUCUGAACCAGCCAUUCCGCGUGCAGGAAGAAGGUCCUAUGGACUGUAAACUGCUUUUAGCAGAGAAGAAACGCCUUCAUUUAUGAGGGUCUGACGGUAUCUGCAGAAUAAGCACCGGCUAACUCCGUGCCAGCAGCCGCGGUAAUACGGGGGGUGCAAGCGUUAUCCGGAAUCACUGGGUUUAAAGGGUGCGUAGGCGGGACAUUAAGUCAGUGGUGAAAGUCUGUUGCUUAACGAUAGAAUUGCCGUUGAUACUGAUGUUCUUGAAUUGGGUUGAGGUUAGCGGAAUGUGACAUGUAGCGGUGAAAUGCAUAGAUAUGUCAUGGAACACCAAUUGCGAAGGCAGCUAGCUGGGCCUUGAUUGACGCUGAGGCACGAAAGCGUGGGGAGCAAACAGGAUUAGAUACCCUGGUAGUCCACGCCCUAAACGAUGCUAACUCGAUGUUUGGUUUACGGAUUGAGCAUCUAAGGGAAACCGAUAAGUUAGCCACCUGGGGAGUACGACCGCAAGGUUGAAACUCAAAGGAAUUGACGGGGGUNCCGCACAAGCGGUGGNAGCAUGUGGNUUUAANUUCGAUGAUACGCGANGGAANCCUUNAAAUCACUAGUGAANUUCGCNGGCCCGNCCUUGC
RNAcentral lists this ribosomal RNA (998 nucleotides) under uncultured bacterium. RNAcentral's name for it is "bacterial SSU rRNA". It matches the Rfam family "Bacterial small subunit ribosomal RNA", at positions 17 to 1004 of the family's 1533-position model. The record is from RNAcentral.